UUCUACUCCGACUCUAUCUCAGAUAAAAGCACGGCAAACGAGCUCGAGCGCAGGCAUCCGACCUCGUCCGGACAGUUCGACGAGCCAAGUCCAGGCACUCCAGGCUCAGCUGCAAGAAGAGAGGAGAGAACGUAUGGAGUUGGAGGCAAGGAUGAGGGCGGAGAUGGAGGCCGAGCGGGAGGCUGACCGACAGAGGAUGGCGAGCAUGUUCGCGUACAUUCAGAGUCUUGGCGCAGCGACGGGUCUACCUCCGCCACCUCCCUUCGUCACCCCACCUAGACCACCCACCGAUCCGUUUUCUACUUCAAAUCAGUCGGCGGCCUCCAAUGAUCCGUAUAUUUCUCCAAAUCAGACCAACCAGAACAACUAGCCACCUUCGGCAUAGAUGAUGGAGUU
This is a long non-coding RNA of Panicum hallii, 396 nucleotides long. RefSeq lists it as uncharacterized. The transcript is spliced from 3 exons. The record is from RefSeq and is a predicted model, not a curated record. Lineage: Eukaryota; Viridiplantae; Streptophyta; Magnoliopsida; Poales; Poaceae.